This 354-nucleotide long non-coding RNA is filed under the name Elaeis guineensis (African oil palm). RNAcentral describes it as "long non-coding RNA (EGUI_LNC026936)". Lineage: Eukaryota; Viridiplantae; Streptophyta; Magnoliopsida; Arecales; Arecaceae. The record is from RNAcentral.
UCCUUCUCCCUAUCUAUUGUUACAUUAAUUGUCCUUUUGUUAAAUAGUAAUAAUAAUAAUAAUAAAACUGGUGCUUCCACCAAUUACAAACCAACAAGUCUCCUUCCCAAUGGAUUGCUUUUUAGGUUUCAAAUUGAGGGAGGACUAAGAAUAUGCUCUCUUGUGGCUGCUGGCUUUCUCCUUUUCCUUUCUAUUGCCAUCCCCCAGUGUCCCACAAUGGUCACUAUCCGGAAAGUAGGAAUUGCUGCGCCUUCCACAAUGGGAUAGUCGGCCUUGUUUAAGGCCACUUCCAAACAAGAAGUAGGUGGGAAGAACCGGGAAGGACGCGACGUAGCCAAGGCUCAACCACUUCCU